Methylosinus sp. R-45379 is the source of this 174-nucleotide non-coding RNA. The record is from Rfam. Lineage: Bacteria; Pseudomonadati; Pseudomonadota; Alphaproteobacteria; Hyphomicrobiales; Methylocystaceae.
UGUCGACCCUCCAAAGGUCGGCGUACCGAAGAGGCUUGUCUUUCUUGCCGGGCGUGCGGAAAGGGAAAAAUCCCCUUCCAAGCGAUGGCUAUUCGACACGGGAUUCGAUGUCCGUCUGGACAUGCGAGUCCGCGUUUCGUCUAGCCGACGGCGCAUCACCCGACUGUCCUGCGC